Molecule: ribosomal RNA, 207 nt
Filed under: uncultured bacterium
Lineage: Bacteria
Description: partial 16S ribosomal RNA
Rfam family: Bacterial small subunit ribosomal RNA
Source: RNAcentral
UGCGUAGGCGGGAAUGUAAGUGGGUGGUGAAAGCGCCCGGCUAAACCGGGCGAGGACCAAUCAGACUGCAUUUCUAGAGGCGGAUAGAGGGGUGCGGAAUUCCGGGUGUAGCGGUGAAAUGUGUAGAGAUCCGGAGGAACACCAGUGGUGCAGACGGCGCCCUGGGUCCGAACUGACGCUGAAGCACGAAAGCGUGGGGAGCGAACG